GCCUUCAAAUCACAUAGUUAUACCUUCAAAAAAAUUCAAUAAUUGAAGAGAGACAAGUAGGAAGAGAGGUCAAAGAGGAAAAGGGGCAUUCAAUACAUUCAAUUUUUUCCAGACUCGUAAGGUUAGAAACAUUGAAUUGACGUUCAAGUCCUAGAAGCACUAAUUCCACAUUGAACUUCAUUAUCGCUCACCAUUAAUUCAAACCCCCGGACCUUACUAUUCCAAUCCAAUAAAAAAAAUCCCAAUUUAAAAAACUCUUCACAUAUAAAUAUCAAGUUGACUCGCUAAAACCAUUCGACAGUCUGUUACUGUAACAACUUCCCAUUUACAUACAAUUAUUACUUUGAAACCUGAUUAAGAAUUCCUCUAUUAAUUAGAUUAUUAACUAAGUGAUCAAAUCAAAAUGCAAACAAAGAAAAAGAAGAAGAAAUGAACUAAGAAUCGUAAUUAAGAAGUGCUCACCGCGAUUAGAGAAGAAAACAAA
This 484-nucleotide unclassified non-coding RNA is filed under the name Hevea brasiliensis (rubber tree). Lineage: Eukaryota; Viridiplantae; Streptophyta; Magnoliopsida; Malpighiales; Euphorbiaceae. The record is from RNAcentral.